RNAcentral lists this ribosomal RNA (191 nucleotides) under uncultured bacterium. RNAcentral's name for it is "partial 16S ribosomal RNA". It matches the Rfam family "Bacterial small subunit ribosomal RNA", at positions 1312 to 1500 of the family's 1533-position model. The record is from RNAcentral.
UCGAGUGCAUGAAGCUGGAAUCGCUAGUAAUCGCGGAUCAGAAUGCCGCGGUGAAUACGUUCCCGGGCCUUGUACACACCGCCCGUCACACCAUGAGAGCUGGGAACACCCGAAGCCCGUAGCCUAACCUGCAAAGGAGGGCGCGGUCGAAGGUGGGCUUAGUAAUUGGGGUGAAGUCGUAACAAGGUAGC